This 83-nucleotide small nuclear RNA is filed under the name Suricata suricatta (meerkat). RNAcentral describes it as "U4 spliceosomal RNA (ENSSSUG00005017864.1)". It matches the Rfam family "U4 spliceosomal RNA", at positions 1 to 83 of the family's 138-position model. Rfam says of the family: U4 small nuclear RNA (U4 snRNA) is a component of the major U2-dependent spliceosome. The structure of U4 snRNA from yeast and human has been reported. The record is from RNAcentral. Lineage: Eukaryota; Metazoa; Chordata; Mammalia; Carnivora; Herpestidae.
AGCUUUGUGCAGUGGUAGUAUCAUAGCCAAUGAGGUUUAUCCAAGGCGCGAUUAUUGCUAAUUGAAAACUUUUCCUAAAGUUU